This 90-nucleotide transfer RNA is filed under the name Polaromonas sp. JS666. RNAcentral describes it as "tRNA_Ser_TGA". It matches the Rfam family "tRNA". Rfam says of the family: Transfer RNA (tRNA) molecules are approximately 80 nucleotides in length. RNAcentral also lists the same sequence under 10 other names. Lineage: Bacteria; Pseudomonadati; Pseudomonadota; Betaproteobacteria; Burkholderiales; Comamonadaceae. The record is from RNAcentral.
GGAAGCGUGGCAGAGCGGUUGAAUGCAGCAGUCUUGAAAACUGCCGAGGAUGCAAGUCCUCCGUGAGUUCGAAUCUCACCGCUUCCGCCA